RNAcentral lists this ribosomal RNA (652 nucleotides) under Enterococcus hirae. Its description in RNAcentral is "bacterial SSU rRNA". It matches the Rfam family "Bacterial small subunit ribosomal RNA", at positions 368 to 998 of the family's 1533-position model. Lineage: Bacteria; Bacillati; Bacillota; Bacilli; Lactobacillales; Enterococcaceae. The record is from RNAcentral.
GCAAUGGACGAAAGUCUGACCGAGCAACGCCGCGUGAGUGAAGAAGGUUUUCGGAUCGUAAAACUCUGUUGUUAGAGAAGAACAAGGAUGAGAGUAACUGUUCAUCCCUUGACGGUAUCUAACCAGAAAGCCACGGCUAACUACGUGCCAGCAGCCGCGGUAAUACGUAUGUGGCAAGCGUUGUCCGGAUUUAUUGGGCGUAAAGCGAGCGCAGGCGGUUUCUUAAGUCUGAUGUGAAAGCCCCCGGCUCAACCGGGGAGGGUCAUUGGAAACUGGGAGACUUGAGUGCAGAAGAGGAGAGUGGAAUUCCAUGUGUAGCGAUGAAAUGCGUAGAUAUAUGGAGGAACACCAGUGGCGAAUGCGGCUCUCUGGUCUGUAACUGACGCUGAGGCUCGAAAGCGUGGGGAGCAAACACGAUUAGAUACCCUGGUAGUCCACGCCGUAGACGAUGAGUGCUAAGUGUUGGAGGGUUUCCGCCCUUCAGUGCUGCAGCUGACGCAUUAAGCACUCCGCCUGGGGCAGUACGACCUGCAAGGUUGCAACUCAAAGCGAAUUGACGAGGGGCCCUGCACUACGCGUUGGAGCAUGUGGAUUUAAUUUCGACAGCAAGCGCAUGAGAAGCCUUUACCAGGUCAUGACAUCCUUUUGAUCA